GAUGAACGCUGGCGGCGUGCCUAAUACAUGCAAGUCGAGCGAACAGACGAGGAGCUUGCUCCUCUGACGUUAGCGGCGGACGGGUGAGUAACACGUGGAUAACCUACCUAUAAGACUGGGAUAACUUCGGGAAACCGGAGCUAAUACCGGAUAAUAUAUUGAACCGCAUGGUUCAAUAGUGAAAGACGGUUUUGCUGUCACUUAUAGAUGGAUCCGCGCCGCAUUAGCUAGUUGGUAAGGUAACGGCUUACCAAGGCAACGAUGCGUAGCCGACCUGAGAGGGGGAUCGGCCACACUGGAACUGAGACACGGUCCAGACUCCUACGGGAGGCAGCAGUAGGGAAUCUUCCGCAAUGGGCGAAAGCCUGACGGAGCAACGCCGCGUGAGUGAUGAAGGUCUUCGGAUCGUAAAACUCUGUUAUUAGGGAAGAACAAAUGUGUAAGUAACUAUGCACGUCUUGACGGUAGCUAAUCAGAAAGCCACGGCUAACUACGUG
Molecule: ribosomal RNA, 497 nt
Filed under: uncultured bacterium
Lineage: Bacteria
Description: partial 16S ribosomal RNA
Rfam family: Bacterial small subunit ribosomal RNA
Source: RNAcentral